CAAUCACAUCAGCACCAAAUGGCUCAGGAUGCUCUGGUUUCAAAGCUUAUAAAACAGAGGGUGAUUCCCUUGGGACUCACUCAGCUCGGCUCCGAAAAGCAAAGGCCAGAAGGCAGCAGUGAGCCUGGGUCCCUGCUGUGUAGGGAGACUCAGGGGCUGGGAAGAAGGAUGGAAUCAGAAAUGCUGAAGGUUUACGUGAGCUUUGCACCGAGCGCCUCCGAACCACUGCCUCUGGGCUCAACAGAACACAGGGGUAAGUCUCCAUGAACUUCUCAAAAAGAAAACUGGGAAGCUUUCUGUCUUGAUGAUUUGAGGACCCACUGGUUUCAGAGGUGCCACAUUUGGAACCAGAUCCGAGUCUUUAAGGUCCUGAAGAAUGAAGGGUACCAAGGUGGAAGGGGCGCAGGAUUAAGAGUAGGGACGCCUGCAAAAGCUCUCGUGUUACCACCUCAUCUUCCAACUUUCAUGUGGGUGAAAACGUUCAUCCUAAAUAAUUGCUUCUAAUUCUGAAGUUUUGUGAUUCCUUGAAAUGUACUUUGGGGAUGACAGCCAGCAUUUCCAUUUCACUGCAAUUUCAGAGUUUUGCAGUGGUUUGCCAAUCAUAACACUUUCUAAUUGGCACAAAAUCCACCUACCUGUUGCCUCUCAGGCUUGGGUAACAUACUUCAGACACUUUCUUAGGUAAGUCUUGGCCCUUGGGGUGUUAUUUGCCCAGAUGGUAAAAACAUUUAAGUAGGUCUGAUUAUUUCAUUUUCAGUGGUUUCAACGCAUUUUUGUGGCCUGGGUGGUUACUGUAAUGUGCCCAAGUUGUUCAUUCUGAGCCAACGGGGUCACCCACAGAGAGAAGACUUGACAAAGGAACUCUCCUCUACUCCCCUCUUGCCAGAUGAAAUAUUGUUUGUAAAAGGUCUUUGUCUUGAGAGGAUCACAUACUUUGGUUAAGAAUCCACUUUGGUUAAGCCGGUUGCUGGAUUCAGAGACAUGAACAGGAUAGACAGUCCACCGAUAACUUUAUAAUAACACCUUUUUAAUAACACCUUUAAUAACUUUUUAAUAACUUUAAAAGUUAUUAAAACUUUAUAAAAAGUUAAUCUAAAACUUUAAUAACUUUUUAAUAACACCUUUAGCCAGGGGUUUAUGCAGCAUACACGACAAAACUGGAAUAUAAUGUGGUAGGUGCAGUAGCAGGGUCCACAAAAUUAUUUUAGUUAGAUUUUAAAAAUUAUUAAGACAUCUGUUUUAUACAAGAAAAAUUCUUAUGAAAAUUUAUAGACAUGUGUUUGAAAUUUAGAAUAAGUUGCCUCUGCUUAGAAUUAUUAAGUAUUUUGAAAGGAAACACUAAUAAAUGCUAGAUAAACUUUUUCUUUUUGAUACAAUUUGUGUUUACUUUAAAUGCAAUAUUUUUUUAUCUGAAAAAAAACGUGAGCACUUAGCAAAUCUCUUCAUUAUUUUGGAAUUGGCCAAUGCUUAUAAACUACAAACAAAUAUACAGAUUGUUCCUUGUGCUGAUAUUUUUGUUUUCAAAUUUCUUAGUCCUGUUACUUAACAAAUGGCUGAUAUCUUUGUUGGAAU
Molecule: long non-coding RNA, 1572 nt
Filed under: Homo sapiens (human)
Lineage: Eukaryota; Metazoa; Chordata; Mammalia; Primates; Hominidae
Description: HSALNT0214784
Source: RNAcentral